GGUUUUUAUAAAAUCCGAUUGUUGUGGAUGCAUUUUUUAGUUUGAUCCACCGACACUAUUUGCUCUCAAAGUUCAGAAAUCUAUCUUACAAAAACAAAUGAUUUUUGUAAAAUCUGAUGAUUGUGGAUGUGUUUUUUAGUUUGAUCCACCGACACUAUUUGCUCUCAAAGUUCAGAAAGUUGAGAGACAAAUCGUGGCUAAGAACCAACCCAUGUUUAACGCCCCAUCCAAUCGUCCAGAUUCACGCAUCUAUUAUUGUCUCUCCGUCAGUUAUCAAUAUCAUCAAUAUCAGCACCGAUUUAGGGCCCGUUGUUGUUUCUCACUUCAAUAGGUUUGUCAAAAAUAGGUUCUUUCUCCCGUCCGUUACCAAUCCUAUUAAUGUUGUUUCUCCCUUCAACAAGCACCAAUCCAUCCGGCUAAAAUUCGAUUUAUUUCUCCCUUCAAUUUCCUUACGUUACUUACCAUGGAUUCCCGUUGUCAGAAAUAGGUUUUACAGCCCUAAUUGUUCAUGCGUUACGAAAAGAAAAAAGUGCCCCAUUAACAACUCUCUAAUUUCUACUAUAAAUCCCUUCGACUACAUAAACAUCAAAAGGGGUACGGUUAUCUUCCAAAGGUUCUCGGUAUGUUUCUAAACCCCUGUAAGUUUCAGUUUGGGUAUUUUUUCUUUGUUUUAAUUCUUUUAUUUUGAUUUAGUGUUAUUGGUUCAAGGUUUUGUUUUUAGUUUUUUUUUUCACUAAUUUUUCAUUUGAUGCUUCGAUCUUACUCAAUUUCCCAUUUGAAGUGGAAUGCUACGGUUGAAAUUUAACAUUUUUUUUUCUAUCGUUAAGAUUGUAAUUUGGCAUCCGUAUCAAUCUUAGCGAAUGAUAAUGAUUUUAUCAUCAGCUGUGAAUAAGGUGACUGCAGCUAAAAUUGAAUUGAGGAGGUUGAAGAAUAUAGUGGAGGUGAAGGUACAAGUUAACAACUUACGUAUUAUUAUUGAAUGAGUUUUGGUUGGUUUUAAUCCAGGGGAUUCCCUGUCAGAACCAACCAACAUAUUUGUGGGUACAAUUCCUCAUACCUGUAUCUGUUUCCCACAAUUAUCCUUGAAUUGAGGUAUCAGGCAGCUAGCAAAAUGCCUUCAUUGACUCUUUGUGAUUACUGUGCCUGCUCUUUUAGAAAAUGAAAAUUUAUGUUUAAUUUUAUUGAUUUUUUAUUCACUGGAUCAUCUGGAUCAGGGGACAUAUUCUAUUAUCAACCCUUCAAAAAAUACAUUUGUAUUCUUCGACAAUAUUAUUAUUUGUUUUGAUUGGUUUGCUACUAUAUCGUUGUUGUUAUUCAAUACUCUUACAAGUUUAAUAUCUCUGCACAAUUAUAGGUUCAUAUCUGCAUACUCUCACAGCACCGGGGAUGCUGAGGAUGCCUUUAGGAGGCUUGAAACACCUCUUCCCAAUACUCUAUAUAUAUGUACAGGCUUUGGAUGGAGUCUUUAGUUAAUAAUCCUAGCUAUUUUACUUUUAUGUUCAGUUGAAUUUACAGUUCACACUUGGAUUUGGAUGCCCUGUGACAUUAUCAAUCUUAUAUAUAUAUGUACAGGCUUUGGAUGGAGUCUUUAGUUAAUAAUCCUAGCUAUUUUACUUUUAUGUUCAGUUGAAUUUACAGUUCACACUUGGAUUUGGAUGCCCUGUGACAUUAUCAUAAACAGUUCACCACAGUAUGCUUGAGGAUAUUAAAGACCAGGGUUAUGUAGCACUUCCGCAGAUUUGCCUUAGAUAUUUCUACGCUUCUUGAUGGAUCCAUAAAGUGGAAUGGGACAUGCAGAAGUGGAACCAUAUAUAAUUGUGUUCAGUUUUUUUUUUGUUGCUAUUGGUACCCGAUCUUAGAUGGUUCGUCAAAAAGAUUAAAUGGCAGUAUGGCACUACAAAAAUGUAUAGGAUAUGGUUACAAGGUGCCGAAAGGUCCAGCUUACAUAAUAAUAUUCGCAAGCUUUACUUAAUAAUUUAUCUCCAGCUUAUAAAAAGGAUUAUCUUAUCUUUAGAACUAUUUUUUUUUAAUUAGUUUGGCUCAUGGACAAACAUUAAUAUGGGACCUGUUUAUGUUAAGGAUGUUGCAGGGAUAAAAUUCUUUAUAUAUACAAAAACUCAGCAACCUCUGGAAGCCAUUAAAGUGCCUUAGCAGCUAAUAUUGAGAACCUUACCCUGGAUACAGUGUGCCCAGUGGCAAUGCAGAGAUGUAAUGAAGAACCCAACAAGUCAGUUCGGAGAAAUUACCAUCGCACUGGGUGGCUGCUUUAGAUUUAGAUAGACGUUACCAAUUAUUCAGAAAGGAUGCUUGGAGCAAAUUGUAGGAGCGUCGAUAAGAAGAUUUGUACUGUUUAAUAGCCUCAUGAUCCUAAAACUUGCAAAAAAAAAAACCGAGGAUAGGAAAUGAAGACAUAUGGAGUGUCAAAUUUGCUGAAUCUAUGCUACAGGUGGGAACGAGUCCGGAACCAGAAAUUGAAAUGCCACACCUGAUCGAUAAGUUCAUAAUGAUGCUUAGUUCGCCACCAUUUAACUUGGACGUAACGGCCGGAUCUCCAAUAAUGAUGCUACGCAUUAUCACCACGAGUGAUGGGCUGUACAAUAAAACCAGAUUGAGGAUGGAGUUGUGCGGAGACCAUGUAAGUUGAAGAGACAAUCUUGACUGGUGACAAGCAGGGUCAGUUGGUUUUCAUCCAACAAAAUUCACCAUCCGAUGUCAUUGUUAGAAUUCCAAGGAGGCAGUUUCCAGUACGACAUGCCUACACAAUGAUUAUAAACAAGUCGCAAGGCCAAUCGAUGAAAUUUGUGGGAACACUAGCUUUGAGAAGUCCAGUUUUCAGCCAUGGAGUUAUAUGUGGCUCUGUCAAGAUGGAGUUAAAUUCCAGAGAACAACGAAGUCAACAAGAUGGAUAAUGUGGUUUAUCCGGAAGUAAUUUUGUUGUAUGCAUAUAAGACUAUCAGUAGUAGAUGUCUAUGCCGUAAGAUUCAUUAAAAGUUUAAGUAAUUUUACAUUUGAAUUUUGUAAUACUGUGAAUUCUAAGAAAGACAUGAAACAAAAAUGCUAUUCAAUUAUUGCGAUAUCUUAUUUGAUAGAGUAAAAGUUGGUAGUAUGGUUUUCAUAGUAAGGUAUAAUUUGUUUCUACACAUACAA
Molecule: long non-coding RNA, 3147 nt
Organism: Papaver somniferum (opium poppy)
Lineage: Eukaryota; Viridiplantae; Streptophyta; Magnoliopsida; Ranunculales; Papaveraceae
Exons: 3
Source: RefSeq, a predicted model, not a curated record